UACGAAGGGGGCUAGCGUUGUUCGGAAUUACUGGGCGUAAAGCGCACGUAGGCGGAUUAGUAAGUCAGGGGUGAAAUCCCGGGGCUCAACCUCGGAACUGCCUUUGAUACUGCUGAUCUCGAGUCCGGAAGAGGUGAGUGGAAUUCCUAGUGUAGAGGUGAAAUUCGUAGAGAUUAGGAAGAACACCAGUGGCGAAGGCGGCUCACUGGUCCGGUACUGACGAUGAGGUGCGAAAGAGUGGGGAGCAAACAGG
Molecule: ribosomal RNA, 253 nt
Filed under: uncultured bacterium
Lineage: Bacteria
Description: partial 16S ribosomal RNA
Rfam family: Bacterial small subunit ribosomal RNA
Source: RNAcentral